UACAGCAGCAGUCUCCCUCCCUGCUACAUUACCUGAUCUGGCUGGUUGGACUCCUGUAAAUCAAGCUGCAGAUGUUGAUGUCGACUGCUCAGAUGCAGUGGUUGUGGCAACCUUUGAUCGUCAACCACACGAAACACACAUAGAGGGAGCCACAAUAAUUCUUGAUUCUCAACAGACGAUGACAGCCACUGCAAUGACUGCCCCAAAAUCUCCAGCCAAAAAGAAGGCCAAACUGUGCAAAGUCACUGGUGCCAGGAAAGCACAUGCGAAGGGUCUGCUGACAGACGCCAUGUGCCGACAGAAGACUCAGCAGGAUGUAUUUAACAUGCAGCUUGAGGUCCUUGAGGCAACUCUUGUUACGCAGAA
This is a long non-coding RNA of Lineus longissimus, 366 nucleotides long. RefSeq lists it as uncharacterized. The record is from RefSeq and is a predicted model, not a curated record. The transcript has 4 exons. NCBI's taxonomy places the organism in Eukaryota, Metazoa, Nemertea, Pilidiophora, Heteronemertea, Lineidae.